RNAcentral lists this long non-coding RNA (4857 nucleotides) under Sus scrofa (pig). Its description in RNAcentral is "lncRNA (ENSSSCG00000055146.1)". The record is from RNAcentral. Lineage: Eukaryota; Metazoa; Chordata; Mammalia; Artiodactyla; Suidae.
CUUUUUGUCUUUUCUAGGGCCGCUCCUGCAGCAUAUGGAGGUUCCCAGGCUAGGGGUCAAAUCAGAGCUGUAGCCACCGGCCUACACCAGAACCACAGCAACACGGGAUCCGAGCCAAGUCUUCGACCUACACCACAGCUCUCAGCAACACCGGAUCCUUAACUCACUGAGCAAGACCAGGGAUCGAACCCACAACUUCAUGAUUCCUAGUUGGAUUGAUUAACCACUGAGCCACGAUGGGAACUCCUCCAAUCCUUUUUAUGAGCAAAUAAUAUUCCAUUACUUGGACAUACCAUCUCUUGCUUAUUCAUCAGUUGAUAGACAUUUAAGUAUACUCUAUUGCUAUUAAGAAUAAUACUGUUCUUAUACAUUCCUGUACAAGUUUUCUAUGGACAUAUGUUUUUGAUUCUGUGUGGGUGUGUAUAAAUUUUUGAGAAAUUUCCUGUUUUCCAAACUGGCGAUACCAUUUUACAUUCCCACUAGCAAUUUCAGAGGGUUCGAAUCUUCUCUUAAUUUUUAUUGUCAUUAACCACAUGUAGUUUUGGCUUUUUCAGCUUUGUUCUGUGUUUAUUGAUACUACCACCAAUACUCACUACAAACUGUACAAAAAUAUGGUAGCUUCCAUUCACCUCUUAGCAAAUUCAAGAACAUCAGUCCUCCAGGAUAUUUCUGUUUUGUUGUUUUGUUUUGUUUUGUUUGCUUUUUAGAGCCACACCCACAGCAUAUGGAGGUUCCCACGCUAGGGGUAUAAUCAGAGCUACAGCUGCCGGCCUUCCCCAGACCCAUGGCAAUGCAGGAUCCGAGCUGCGUCUGCGACCUACACCACAGCUCACAGCAACGCCAGAUCCCUAACCCACUGAGCGAGGCCAGGGAUCGAACCCGCAAACUCAUGGUUCCUAGUCGGAUUCGUUAACCACUGAGACACAAUGAGAACUCCUAGGAUAUUUCUAUUGCCAAAUUCAGCCUGGGGCCUGUUUGUGUAUGACUCAGAAGCUAAGAAUUUUUUUUUUUACAUUUAUAAAAAUGGUUUAAAAUUUUUUUUAAUAUUUUGUUACAAAUAGAUUAUAUAAAAUCCAAAUUUCAUUGACUAGAAAUAAAAUUCUGUUAGAACCUGGCCCUGCUCACUCACUACGUAUCACCUACGGCUGCUUUCACACGGCAAAGGCAGAGCUGAGUAAUUGUGACAGAGAUGGUCUGGCCCACAGAGCCUCAAAUCUUUACUAUCUGGGCUUUUACAGAAAAAAAGUCUAUCGUAUUGCCAAUCUGUACUAUCGCAUUGCCAAUAAGUACAGAAAUUGAGAGUAAGCCUUAGAAAUGCACAGAAAAUUGACCAAGGAAUUUUCUAUCUCUGAGUCAAAUACUUAAAAAUAGGCUACGUAGUCUGUAUGUCUUUGGGGUUUUCUAAAUUUUCAUUUUUCUAGUUAUUGAUUUUUAUUGGAUUUUAUUAAAGUAUCAGUUCAUGAUAAAAUGGAAACCUUAAAAAAAAACUGGUCCUUGAACACAAAUAGUUGUAGAAGCACUCAAGUAGUGAAUCAAUGUCUUUAGAAAAACAAAGGAGUGGAUCUUCUGGGACACAAGCAUCCUGAGAGCAGAGCUUUCAACUGCCUGUGCGCCUAUAUUUCUCAGCAUCUAGACAGUGCCUGGUACAGUGUAACAGGAACUCAAUAAAUGCUGGACAAAUAUACAAAUCCAAUACAACCCACUUCCUAACUCCAAUAUCACUCCCAAGGAUUGCUAUUUUCUAGGUUUGUUUUAUUUUUAUUUAUUUAUUUAUUUAUUUAGUCUUUUUAGGACCUCACCCGAGGUAUAUGAAGGUUCCCAGGCUAGGGGUCAAAUCGGAACUGUAGCCACUGGCCUAUGCCACAGCAAUGCCAGAUCAGAGCCACAUCUUCAAACUACACCACAGUCACGGCAACGCCAGAUCCUUAACUGAAUGGACAAGGCCAGGAAUUGAACCUGCAUCUUCAUGGAUACUAGUCAGAUUUGUUUCUGCUGAGCCAUGACAGGAACUCCCUGUUUUUAUUUUUAAUUUACUCUCAAAGGCAGUAUUUACAGCCGAAACUCUGGUCCCAGGCCUGGGUUGAAAUCCCAGCUUCACCUUUUACUAGCCAGGCUAUCUUUGGCAAGUCACUCAACCUUUCUCUAACUCUUCAAGUAUCAAAUGGGGAUAACAGUAGAGUCUAUAGAGUUAUUAGGACAGUAAUCUGAGUUGAUAUUAAUAUAAAUUACUUAGAAGGGUGCCAUGAACACAGAAAGAACUCAAUAAAUUCAUGUAUUAUUAUUAUUGUACAUAUCUGUAAAGUAUGCAUAUGCGCGAAGUGGUCACAAAACUUUCUCGUAUUAGCUGCCCAAGAUAGCAUGCAGUGCUCUUUAUCUUUUUAAGGUAAAGCAUUUUAUAUUCCUGCCAAAUGUAAUGUCUCCAGCUUUUUAAAAACAAUCUCUCUAGGUCAUCAGAUACUUUUGCAAAUAUGAUUUUUCAUGAAUCUGUGAAGUAUUUCCCAUAAAUUUGCUUAGUACAGCCCAAAGGUUUGACUAAACAUCUAUAAAUGAGUUCCCACUGUGGCUCAGCAGAAACAAAUCCAACUAGUAUCCAUGAGGACACAGGUUCGAUCCCUGGCCUUGCUCAGUGGGUUAAGAAUCCAGCACUGCCGUGAGCAGUGGUGUAGGCCAGCAGCUACAGCUCUGAUUGGACCCCUAACCUGGGAAACUCCAUAUGCCAUGGGUGCGGCCCUAAAAAGACAAAAAGAAAGAAAGAGAGAGAGAAAGAAAGAAAAGAAAUUUCAAUUAUAUCACCUCACCUCUACCCAUCUCAACCCUAAACUUUACAAAACACCAAAUUUUUUUCAGAGUGAAUCUCUUCAGCCUUCAGCAGCCCCUUCUUAGUCUCUAGGCACUGAGGAGGUAGGAGCAGUACUGAGUGGCUAACCCUAGGAGUGACCCUCUUUAUAAUUACAUCUCAGUACAGUUUUUGGCAUUACUGGGAAAAAAAUACAGCACAACCAGGUCCACAGAAAGCCCUGCUCUCCACAAAUAUUCCUGCCUAUCCACACUCCCACCUCUGGCUAUGUUUGGCUUCAGCCUAGAAUAAAUCUCCCAGCCACUGACUACUGGUAACUUUAGACAACCUCCAAGACCAGACACCAACAUCAUUUCUAUAGCAACUUCCCUUUCAGUCAGAACUAAUAAAAACGAUAAACCUUAUAUAAUCGACCUUGUUCAAUGCCUGUUUCGUCCACUAAACUGACCCCAGAGCAACUACCAAAGUGCUCAGUACAUGUGGAGAGAAGAAAAGUUACUAAAUAAUGCCCUCUAGGAGAUGACUGGCCAGACAUUGGUAAGCUAUUCUGCCUUUCCCCACUACUUAAAUGCCAUGAGGGUAGGAACUGGCAUUACUAGUAGGUGCAAAGUAAAUAUUGGUUGAAAGAAUGAAUGAUUGAAUGAGUGGGUGAGUGAAUGAAUGAGGGACCAAGACAGGAAUACUUGUCAUAAAGUGGUGCCAUCUGAUAUCAUAUUUGAGCUGCUCACAUGCCCUGCUACACAAAAAAUAGGAGGAGAUUUUAAAAUUACCUUUCCCCAGACUUCAAUAAUCAGGUUGUUUCCCAGUAUCAAAAGUAGAGUGAUAGAUCAUGAUGUCACACACAGCAUACACAACAUUACUGAUACCCAACUAUGAGGGUUGUUGGAGGAACAGAUCUAUUUGUUCUUUGUUUCUUUUAGACAAUUUUAAAGCAUCUUCUUUUCCUGGAAGUAAAACUUCCUGUUGUCUGUACAGUCUAUCCUAGUUUUCCCAUGCCAUUAGGCUGAUCCAUUUUGAAACAUUUAAGGAUUCCAUCUAUCUUGGUGACAAUAGUGGCCUCUGGAUUAGGAUAUCAGCAAGCCACAAUUACCUAAGUAAUACUAAAGGCUCAGGCUCAGAGCAUAAACCCAAGCCAGGACUGGGCUUAUCCAGAAAUGAGGGGACCACUAAACUAAUAUCACUAGCCUGUUGUUUUUACUCCUCCUUAUGGACAUGGGUGUUAACCCUCCCAGGGACCUGAGAGAAGAGGCAUCAAGAAGGUAACCUGGAUGUCCCUCUGCCUGUAUCUUCACUCAUGUUGUUUAUUUACAGUGUUCAUGAUGACUAAGAUUAUGGAAUCAUAGGAAUUGCAAACCCAAAGGUCUAUGGCGGUUAGACAGGUUUUGUUUUUUUGGUUUUUUUUUUUUUCUUUUUUUGCUUUUCAGGGCCACGCCUGCAGCAUAUGGAAGCUCCCAGGCUAAGGGUCAAAUCAGAGCUACAGCUGACGGCCUAUACCACAGCCACAGCCACGCCAGAUCUGAGCAUCAUUUGUGACUUACACCACAGCUCACGGCAAUGCCGGGUCCUUGACCCACUGAACAGGGCCAGGGAUUGAACCUGAGUCCUCAUGGAUAAUAGUCAGAUUCGUUUCUGCUGAGCCACGACAGGAACUCCAAGACAGGUUAAUUGCAAGAAGAUAGCAAGGUGGGGCCUGGGGAGGACAGCAAAGAAUAAGCUCAUAUAAAGAGAAGAGCAGAUACUCAGCUAGCUGUUGCCAUCUGGUAUCUAAGGCCCAAACUCCUGAUCUUCUGGGGUUUAUCCAAAAAAAAAAAAGACUUCAGAUUUGCAUGAGAUAUCUUUUUUUUAAUUGUGGCAAAAUACAUAUAUAAAACUUACCAUCAUCUUAAUCAUUUUAAGUGUACAGUUCAGUAGUGUUCAGUACAUUCACGUUGUGCAACCAGUCUCUGAAACUCCUUCCACCUUGCAAACCUAAAGCUCUAUACACUUUAAACAAUUUACAAUUCCUUGUUUCCCCCAGCCCGUGGCAACCACCAUUCUACUUACUAUCUCUAUGAAUUUAA